Molecule: non-coding RNA, 724 nt
Organism: Cinara cedri
Lineage: Eukaryota; Metazoa; Arthropoda; Insecta; Hemiptera; Aphididae
Source: the annotation of a GenBank genome assembly
GGAGUUUUGGAAAAGUAAUAUAUAUUAUUAUUAAUAAUUAUUGUAUAAACAAGUAAUUCGUGUUUCAUUUGCUUUCCAUUCAUAUUAGGUAACAUUAUGUCAACAUAAAAUAUCGAACAGGUAUGUUGCCAUAAAAAGCAUCCACAAAUCAAAAAUAAUUACUUCAAGCAAAUCAGUAGAGUCAUUAUACUCCGAAAAAAAGAUAUUUGAAGUGGUGAAUAACAGCCCCCACCCGUUUCUCGUAAACUUGUUCUCAUGUUUUCAGACAAACGUAAGUGAAUUAAAAAUUAGUUAUUUAUUUGUAUUUUGAAAUUAAUUGGUUUAUUGUUCACAGGAUUAUGCUUGUUUUGUCAUGGAAUACGCUGCAGGCGGCGAUUUAAACUGGCACAUAGAAAAUUAUGGAGCAUUUACGGAACCAAAAGCCGUGUUCUACGCCGCAUGUGUGGUGCUAGGUGUCACGUAUUUACACGAACACAACAUCGUUUAUCGGUUAGUACAAUGUUAAAUAUCAUUUCUACAUAUUACAUUGUUGUUAAUAUGGUGCGUUUAUUAUUGGUUAGAGAUAUAAAACUAAACAAUUUAAUUAUGACAACGGACGGCUNAUCGAACUUCAUCGUUUUGCGGGACUGCCGAAUUUGUAGCGCCAGAAAUAUUAAUAGAGACGUCGUACACACGAAGUGUCGAUUGGUGGGCUUUUGGUAUUUUAAUAUACAAAAUGCUUGUG